GGGUUGUGAGGUUAAGCGACUAAGCGUACACGGUGGAUGCCCUGGCAGUCAGAGGCGAUGAAGGACGUGCUAAUCUGCGAAAAGCGUCGGUAAGGUGAUAUGAACCGUUAUAACCGGCGAUGUCCGAAUGGGGAAACCCAGUGCAAUUCGUUGCACUAUCGUUAACUGAAUACAUAGGUUAACGAGGCGAACCGGGGGAACUGAAACAUCUAAGUACCCCGAGGAAAAGAAAUCAACCGAGAUUCCCCCAGUAGCGGCGAGCGAACGGGGAGCAGCCCAGAGUCUGAAUCAGCUUGUGUGUUAGUGGAACGGUCUGGAAAGUCCGACGGUACAGGGUGAUAGUCCCGUACACCAAAAUGCACAGGCUGUGAACUCGAAGAGUAGGGCGGGACACGUGGUAUCCUGUCUGAAUAUGGGGGGACCAUCCUCCAAGGCUAAAUACUCCUGACUGACCGAUAGUGAACCAGUACCGUGAGGGAAAGGCGAAAAGAACCCCGGCGAGGGGAGUGAAAAGAACCUGAAACCGUGUACGUACAAGCAGUGGGAGCACCUUCGGGUGUGACUGCGUACCUUUGUAUAAUGGGUCAGCGACUUAUAUUCUGUAGCAAGGUUAACCGUAUAGGGGAGCCGCAGGGAAACCGAGUCUUAACUGGGCGUUAAGUUGCAGGGUAUAGACCCGAAACCCGGUGAUCUAGCCAUGGGCAGGUUGAAGGUUGGGUAACACUAACUGGAGGACCGAACCGACUAAUGUUGAAAAAUUAGCGGAUGACUUGUGGCUGGGGGUGAAAGGCCAAUCAAACCGGGAGAUAGCUGGUUCUCCCCGAAAGCUAUUUAGGUAGCGCCUCGUGAACUCAUCUUCGGGGGUAGAGCACUGUUUCGGCUAGGGGGUCAUCCCGACUUACCAACCCGAUGCAAACUACGAAUACCGAAGAAUGUUAUCACGGGAGACACACGGCGGGUGCUAACGUCCGUCGUGAAGAGGGAAACAACCCAGACCGCCAGCUAAGGUCCCAAAGUCAUGGUUAAGUGGGAAACGAUGUGGGAAGGCACAGACAGCCGGAUGUUGGCUUAGAAGCAGCCAUCAUUUAAAGAAAGCGUAAUAGCUCACUGGUCGAGUCGGCCUGCGCGGAAGAUGUAACGGGGCUAAACCAUGCACCGAAGCUGCGGCAGCGACACUAUGUGUUGUUGGGUAGGGGAGCGUUCUGUAAGCCUGCGAAGGUGACCUGUGAGGGUUGCUGGAGGUAUCAGAAGUGCGAAUGCUGACAUAAGUAACGAUAAAGCGGGUGAAAAGCCCGCUCGCCGGAAGACCAAGGGUUCCUGUCCAACGUUAAUCGGGGCAGGGUGAGUCGACCCCUAAGGCGAGGCCGAAAGGCGUAGUCGAUGGGAAACAGGUUAAUAUUCCUGUACUUGGUGUUACUGCGAAGGGGGGACGGAGAAGGCUAUGUUAGCCGGGCGACGGUUGUCCCGGUUUAAGCAUGUAGGCUGAUUGUCCAGGCAAAUCCGGAUAAUCAAGGCUGAGGUGUGAUGACGAGGCACUACGGUGCUGAAGUAACAAAUGCCCUGCUUCCGUGAAAAGCCUCUAAGCAUCAGGUAACAUCAAAUCGUACCCCAAACCGACACAGGUGGUCAGGUAGAGAAUACCAAGGCGCUUGAGAGAACUCGGGUGAAGGAACUAGGCAAAAUGGUGCCGUAACUUCGGGAGAAGGCACGCUGGUGUGUAGGUGAAGUCCCUGCGGAUGGAGCUGAGACCAGUCGAAGAUACCAGCUGGCUGCAACUGUUUAUUAAAAACACAGCACUGUGCAAACACGAAAGUGGACGUAUACGGUGUGACGCCUGCCCGGUGCCGGAAGGUUAAUUGAUGGGGUUAUCCGUAAGGAGAAGCUCUUGAUCGAAGCCCCGGUAAACGGCGGCCGUAACUAUAACGGUCCUAAGGUAGCGAAAUUCCUUGUCGGGUAAGUUCCGACCUGCACGAAUGGCGUAAUGAUGGCGGGCUGUCUCCACCCGAGACUCAGUGAAAUUGAACUCGCUGUGAAGAUGCAGUGUACCCGCGGCAAGACGGAAAGACCCCGUGAACCUUUACUAUAGCUUGACACUGAACAUUGAGCCUUGAUGUGUAGGAUAGGUGGGAGGCUUUGAAGCGUGGACGCCAGUCUGCGUGGAGCCAACCUUGAAAUACCACCCUUUAAUGUUUGAUGUUCUAACGUUGGCCCCUUACCGGGGUUGCGGACAGUGUCUGGUGGGUAGUUUGACUGGGGCGGUCUCCUCCCAAAGCGUAACGGAGGAGCACGAAGGUUAGCUAAUCCUGGUCGGACAUCAGGAGGUUAGUGCAAUGGCAUAAGCUAGCUUGACUGCGAGCGUGACGGCGCGAGCAGGUGCGAAAGCAGGUCAUAGUGAUCCGGUGGUUCUGAAUGGAAGGGCCAUCGCUCAACGGAUAAAAGGUACUCCGGGGAUAACAGGCUGAUACCGCCCAAGAGUUCAUAUCGACGGCGGUGUUUGGCACCUCGAUGUCGGCUCAUCACAUCCUGGGGCUGAAGUAGGUCCCAAGGGUAUGGCUGUUCGCCAUUUAAAGUGGUACGCGAGCUGGGUUUAGAACGUCGUGAGACAGUUCGGUCCCUAUCUGCCGUGGGCGCUGGAGAAUUGAGGGGGGCUGCUCCUAGUACGAGAGGACCGGAGUGGACGCAUCACUGGUGUUCGGGUUGUCAUGCCAAUGGCACUGCCCGGUAGCUAAAUGCGGAAGAGAUAAGUGCUGAAAGCAUCUAAGCACGAAACUUGCCCCGAGAUGAGUUCUCCCUGAGACUUUAAGUCUCCUGAAGGAACGUUAAAGACGAUGACGUUGAUAGGCCGGGUGUGUAAGCGCAGCGAUGCGUUGAGCUAACCGGUACUAAUGAACCGUGAGGCUUAACCUUACAACGCCGAAG
RNAcentral lists this ribosomal RNA (2919 nucleotides) under Klebsiella pneumoniae. Its description in RNAcentral is "23S ribosomal RNA". It matches the Rfam family "Bacterial large subunit ribosomal RNA". The record is from RNAcentral. Lineage: Bacteria; Pseudomonadati; Pseudomonadota; Gammaproteobacteria; Enterobacterales; Enterobacteriaceae.